Molecule: ribosomal RNA, 1504 nt
Filed under: metagenome
Description: bacterial SSU rRNA
Rfam family: Bacterial small subunit ribosomal RNA
Source: RNAcentral
AGAUUGAACGCUGGCGGCAGGCCUAACACAUGCAAGUCGAACGGUAACAGGAAACAGCUUGCUGUUUCGCUGACGAGUGGCGGACGGGUGAGUAAUGUCUGGGAAACUGCCUGAUGGAGGGGGAUAACUACUGGAAACGGUAGCUAAUACCGCAUAACGUCGCAAGACCAAAGAGGGGGACCUUCGGGCCUCUUGCCAUCAGAUGUGCCCAGAUGGGAUUAGCUAGUAGGUGGGGUGACGGCUCACCUAGGCGACGAUCCCUAGCUGGUCUGAGAGGAUGACCAGCCACACUGGAACUGAGACACGGUCCAGACUCCUACGGGAGGCAGCAGUGGGGAAUAUUGCACAAUGGGCGCAAGCCUGAUGCAGCCAUGCCGCGUGUAUGAAGAAGGCCUUCGGGUUGUAAAGUACUUUCAGCGGGGAGGAAGGGAGUAAAGUUAAUACCUUUGCUCAUUGACGUUACCCGCAGAAGAAGCACCGGCUAACUCCGUGCCAGCAGCCGCGGUAAUACGAAGGGUGCAAGCGUUAAUCGGAAUUACUGGGCGUAAAGCGCACGCAGGCGGUUUGUUAAGUCAGAUGUGAAAUCCCCGGGCUCAACCUGGGAACUGCAUCUGAUACUGGCAAGCUUGAGUCUCGUAGAGGGGGGUAGAAUUCCAGGUGUAGCGGUGAAAUGCGUAGAGAUCUGGAGGAAUACCGGUGGCGAAGGCGGCCCCCUGGACGAAGACUGACGCUCAGGUGCGAAAGCGUGGGGAGCAAACAGGAUUAGAUACCCUGGUAGUCCACGCCGUAAACGAUGUCGACUUGGAGGUUGUGCCCUUGAGGCGUGGCUUCCGGAGCUAACGCGUUAAGUCGACCGCCUGGGGAGUACGGCCGCAAGGUUAAAACUCAAAUGAAUUGACGGGGGCCCGCACAAGCGGUGGAGCAUGUGGUUUAAUUCGAUGCAACGCGAAGAACCUUACCUGGUCUUGACAUCCACGGAAGUUUUCAGAGAUGAGAAUGUGCCUUCGGGAACCGUGAGACAGGUGCUGCAUGGCUGUCGUCAGCUCGUGUUGUGAAAUGUUGGGUUAAGUCCCGCAACGAGCGCAACCCUUAUCCUUUGUUGCCAGCGGUCCGGCCGGGAACUCAAAGGAGACUGCCAGUGAUAAACUGGAGGAAGGCGGGGAUGACGUCAAGUCAUCAUGGCCCUUACGACCAGGGCUACACACGUGCUACAAUGGCGCAUACAAAGAGAAGCGACCUCGCGAGAGCAAGCGGACCUCAUAAAGUGCGUCGUAGUCCGGAUUGGAGUCUGCAACUCGACUCCAUGAAGUCGGAAUCGCUAGUAAUCGUGGAUCAGAAUGCCACGGUGAAUACGUUCCCGGGCCUUGUACACACCGCCCGUCACACCAUGGGAGUGGGUUGCAAAAGAAGUAGGUAGCUUAACCUUCGGGAGGGCGCUUACCACUUUGUGAUUCAUGACUGGGGUGAAGUCGAAACAAGGUAACCGUAAGGGAUCCUGCGGUUG